Alligator mississippiensis (American alligator) is the source of this 67-nucleotide microRNA precursor. It matches the Rfam family "mir-33 microRNA precursor family". Lineage: Eukaryota; Metazoa; Chordata; Crocodylia; Alligatoridae. The record is from Rfam.
CUGUGGUGCAUUGUAGUUGCAUUGCAUGUGUCACAGAGGUGUGCAAUGCCUCUGCAGUGCAGCCCAG